Molecule: long non-coding RNA, 6395 nt
Filed under: Malus domestica (apple)
Lineage: Eukaryota; Viridiplantae; Streptophyta; Magnoliopsida; Rosales; Rosaceae
Description: long non-coding RNA (MDOM_LNC011882)
Source: RNAcentral
CUCAAAAUAAUGAAAACAAUUAAAUUAAACACUAGGAACUGAAAUGGACGAAAAUUAAAUUAAAAGACUAACAAUAAAGAAAACUAACUAAAUAAUAUAAUUUAAUAAUGGAUGGGUGUUUGGUUUUGAUGAAAAGUAAAUUAAACUUAAUUAAAUUACAGAAUUGACAAAAAAAACAUAAAAUUAAGGUGAAAGGAUAAAUGACGGACUAGCUAGAGGGUUCUUCUCCACACAUGACACAUAUGCAACCUAAAUUGAUUUUCAGUUGUUCUUUCAAUAAAUUGUAAAUCUCAACGCCCCAAAUUAACCGUGAAUUGCACUAAUUAACCCUCAGUUUUUCCACAAGUUAUUGGGUUGGAUGAUUGCAUACGACAACCCAAAACAUUCCCUACAAGUUCCCUACAUGAAUUGCAUAAUAGAGAUACAAGCAAGAAUCAUUGAAAAACAUAAGCAUUGACGAGGCACUCGUUACUAUGAUUUGCAUGAAACUUAUGCCAAGAAUUUACUUAACGUGAUUGUGACUAGCAACCUUCACUACUUGUGAAUAUAAGUUCAUAACGAUUAGGUGAAAUUCACUUAUAUUCUAGCAUCAAAUUCAUGCAUGUAAAUUAAGUAUGCAUCCUUAAUCGACAUACAAAAAUAAGUUAUCUAUCAAGCAGUUAAGCAAAUUAAAUCACAACUCAGAAAUCACAACUGAAGGUAAUCAAUUCAUAUUACAAAUAUAUUCAUGGUUUCGAAUUAACCUCUAGCCAAAAUAAAAUUAAUUACACAUUAUUAAAACAAAAAUAAAAUAGGAGUUUGGAAAGAUUAAACCGAAAGAAAGGAUCUGCUGCUUGGACUCUGAACUGCAUGGACUCUGAACUGCAUUUUCAUGCUGACCUCCUGUCCUCCUCGCCACUGACUUCCUUUCCUCAAGCUGCCCAAUGGCAGCACUCUCCUCUCGGUCCUCUUCCUGCGUCUCUGCGAGCUGCCCAAAGGGCAGCUCCCUUCUCUCGCUCCCGAGGCCCCCCUUCAAAAUCGCUGCAAGGUGCAGCUUUUAUUGUUAUCCUCCUUUGUUUUUCCACCGAGCCUUUUUUUUAUGAAUUUCUCAAACUGCCCAGGCAGCUUCCAUUAUUCCCUCUUUUUCCGUAUGCUCUCUCAGCUUCUCCCACUCUUGCACGCUGCAAAGCACUUGUAUAAUAUAUUUUUCUUCUUUUUCAUUCUUUUGUUUUCUUUUGUUCCACCCACAAGAUUCCUCACUGCCUAAGGCAGUGCAUGGUUCCUCUUUUUCUUCCUGUGCUGCGCAAGCAGCUAACUUAUAUUUUAUUUUUCUGCUUUCUGCUUCACCUACCGCACAAGGCUUAGUGCUCUUCAUUUCUUUUUAUUCUUUUUUUUUUUCCACGCCAGGUAGCUUCUUUUUGCUCUCCACCUCACGCUGCACAGGCACUUGUUAUUUUCUUUUCUUCCAAAAGAAACAAAUUUUAGUGCAGAAGACAAUAAAAAUACAUGAGUAGACAAGAUGGCCACAACUUGGACGGCAAUAGUAAAAGAAAAAAUCAUAGAAUUAAUAUUCUAAGGCACUACAACAUAAAUAGACCAUACAAUUAAAAUUGUAACAGCCAACUCAUGACAGAAUGAGAACGACUAAAGCAAUUUUCGACGAAUUUAUUAUUUAAAACUCAUUUGUGCCAUUUUUAUUUUCUUUGCAUAACAAAUCCUAUAAACAUAAAAAAAUAACGUAAAUAGCUCAAAAAUAUAAGGAACUAACUAAGAAAAGACGAGUGAAUUUGAAGUAAAAAUAUAUAUAUAUAUGAUCCUAUCAAAUACCCCCAUACUUAGCUUUUGCUAGUCCUCGAGCAAAACAAAGAAAACAUGAAAAAGUACUAACAUGAAAAACAUUAGUUUCCCCCUAUGCGACCCUCAUAGAAUUUGAGAACACAAAUCAUCAAGAACCAUAGCUAGCACCAAACAAGUUAAUUCAAGUUCAUCUUCCUUAUUCAAAUAUUAGCUGUAAUCUUUAAAUCAUCCUUGAAGUGUAGUGUGUGAGAUAGCCAUGCUAAUGCAAUUUCAAGUUUUUAUUUUUAAAAUCAUCAUAUGCAAACUAGCGACCUUCUCACUGGAUAUGCACUCAAUCACACAUGUGUUUAGUUUUAAUGUGUUUCGCUCAAAGAAUCAAAUGUGAAAUUUCUACUAUAAGCUUGCAUAAAGAUCACUUCUCCACAGUCAUAAUUGCAAAACUUAAAUCAAGAGGACUUUUAUUGGAUGUAAUGAGGUUUAGGGAUAGGGUUAUUGAAACGAAAGAAUAGGAAAACACAAGUUCCAAGCUACAUUGCAAGCAAUUCUUUUCUUUAGAUUUAUAAGAACUCAAGCUCUCCAACGAUUCUUCAGACAUCUCCAACCACAACCUUAAACUGAAACUUUAAAAACUUUUAUUUCUUUGUAUACAAUCUUUCUUUUUCUUUUUUUUUUCUUUUUUUUUUUUUUGAAAUACAAACAUGAAAUACCCCCACACUUAUUCUUUUGCCAAACACCUUCACAGUACUUAACAAACGUUUCUCAUAAGACAAUCUCGCAUUGCUCGCUUGGAAAAGGGUAAGGAAAAAAUGUUUCAGGUAUAAGGGUAGACAUAUCUGGUGAUAAGAAACAAAAGGUUCAACAUAUACGGCUCAAAUUGGCAAUCUAAUGAUAUCAUUUUUCUUUGGGAAACAUGGUUAUUUGGGCCAUGGUGGUAAACCUAAUGCCUCCAUCAUUUCCAAGUUCAUGCAAUCAAUGACAAACAUUUCGAAAGAUCGUUACGCAAGUUCUAGAGAUGUAUCUCACAUAAGUUCAUCACACAUGAAAGAAUAGGAGUGUAUGAAAAAUGCACACACUUUCAAUAGGCUCAAAAACUCACAUAGGAUGUAUAUGGUCACUAAAUUCACAUAUGAAGCUUUAAGUCAUGCUUUAGUUUCACAUCAACAAGGCUAUGUGCAUUUGGUUUUUCAAAGAUGAUCAAACAUGUACAAAACUAAUACGAGAAUUAGGAAUUUCACAAAACACAUGUUAACUAAGUUCUUGAUGAUCAUGGUUCAAAUUUUACCCAAUUAUAUCAUUGGGUCGGGAAACUAACAAAAAUCUAAUUCAAAACAAUAAGGAAAACAAGACAAUAUUUUUGGAUUUUUAAAUUUUCCGAUUUUUUUUUUUUUUAUAGAGAAAACAAAACUAAAAAAUAAAAAGCAACAACACAGAAACAAAUGAAACCAGUUCGAAGUUGAAGGUACAAAAAAUUUCAAUUUGGUCAUUUUUACCCUUUACCCCCAUACUUAAACUGGACAUUGUCCCCAAUGUCAGAAAACACUAUAAUGCAAAAAUAAAUAAAAUAAACAAAAUAAUAAAAAACAAAAUAAAGCAAUUGGACUGAAAACUUCCCUAAUUUGCAGUAAAAUCAAGCGAUGACCCCCCAAGCUAAAAUUCUGCAAUCAACUUCAAGGGUGGAAAUAACCAAAAGUUCCUGCAAAGAAAAGAAAUAAUUCAGUUAAGGACGCAAGAUAAUGUAGAAAAAUGCAAACGAAAAAUUGAAAAUGAAAAUAAAAGAUAAUGAAUAGAACUAAUAGGUGAUCAUUGGUCGCUUGUUGACUUUCCACAGCUUUCCUCUUGAACUGAUUUGGAAUUCUGAGCGAGGAUUGCACAGUCUGCAUUCUUCUCUGCUUGUUUCCUCUGCAUGGCGGGCAGGCACAAGGUAGCUGUUUUGGUCUGAUUCUUUCUUCAAUCUUUCCAAGUGCCCACCUCUUGCUUUCUUUCUCCUUGUCCCUAGAUGAAUUGUCUCCACAUGCUUCGAGGUAUCAUUUUCACUUCCCUUACUGUCCCCCAGGUAGAUGUGGUAGACAAAGAGGAAGCACAAGAUGAUGAAGAUGAGUACUUGAGAGCAAGGCUAGGUAAGCAAUCAGGAAGGGGUUCCAGGCAGUUGGCUCCAGAUCGGAAGAUUGAUACCAAAUGCUGGCUGAUUGCUCUCCUUCUCCUUGUCGGAAAACAAAGACAAGGAGAAGGACAUGGAGAAAGCAUGAUAUGAGAUACUCUUGCUUUCAACCUUUAUGAUAUGAAAUACUUUUGCUUUGAAUGGGUUGUUCGCAGGAGUAUCCCAAGGAAUGAGGAACACAGAGUGACUCGAGAGGAUUCUUUGGGAAUGCAUUUUCGGAGAUGAAGAAGAGUUGAGAGGGUGUGCUGAGAGAGUGUGCUUUUGCUGUGGAAGGCGAAGGUAGAAACUUAUAGGACUUGUCUUCACAACCGGAACUGUUCUCUCACUCAUUGUCGGCAGCCGGUGGAUGGAUGAAUAGUACAAAUUACGCGCUUUCUGACAAAGCUGCCCGUAAUUUCCGCAAAGCUGCCAGUUGCAUGUGACAAGUGCUGACUAGGCUAAGAGAGACAGAUGGUUGGAAUCGGCACUUCGACAGACUGCCCGUGAUUUUCGCAGAGCUGCCAGUUGCAUGUGACGGGUGACAACACGUCUGGACGAAUUGAUCUUGCGAAAUCCGGGGUUCGGCUCGUGGUUUCUGAGCAAGCCCAACUUUUAAGAAAUGAACGCCUCUUUUGAGAAAAGAAUCCGGCUUUUGAGAAAGGUGCCCGACUCUUCGAUUUGCGAGAGGACGCCUCUUCAAUUUCUGAGGAGCGCCUCUUUGAAUUCUUCUUUUUAUAGAGGCGUUAAUUUUGUUCCACAACAUACUUGAGCUCCCUCUUGUAAACACUCCCUUCUUGCACUUGUUUAAUCUUGAUCAGUCCGACUCUUCUUUCUCAACACCUUCAGAAAAUGGCAGGCCCUUCUGAUCGACGUUUUGACUUGAACAUUCGUGAAGAGGCAGCUCCUCCUUCACCAGACAACAUAUGACGCCCUUCUUUCAUAUCCCCCACUGGUCCCCUUACCGUUGGGGCUUCGGUGAUGAAGAACGAUAUGACAGCAGCGGUGGUGGCCCGGAACAUUGUCACUCCUAAAGAUAACAGACUGCUCGCUAGACGGUCUGAUGAAUUGGCGGUUAAGGAGUCUCUGGCUCUCAGUGUGCAGUGUACUGGUUCCGUAUCCAACAUGGCCCAACGCCUAUAUGCCCGAACCCGUCACGUUGAAUCCUUGGUGGCUGAAAUACAGAGUCUCAAGCAAGAGAUUAAAGGGCUCAAGCAUGAGAAUAAGGAAUUGCACAAGCUCGCACACAGCUAUGCCACCAGCAUGAAGAGGAAGAUUGACCAGAUGCAGGACACCGAUGGUCAAAUUUUACUUGAUCAUCGGAGGUUUGUGGGUUUGUUCCAACAACAUCUGCCUUCGUCUUCUGGAGCGGCACCGCGUAGUGAAGCUCCAACUGAUCAACCUCUGCCGCCUCCUCCUUCUGUGGCCCCGCCGACUGCUGAAGCCCCGCCAACUACUGAAGCACCACCGGACCAAUGAAUACUAUUAGUUUACAUCAUUGUAAAAUAUUUGUAUUAUUAUUUUUUAUUAUUAUUAUUAUUAUUUUUUUUUGUAUUAUUAUUAUUAUUAUUUUUGUUUUUUAUCAUUAAUUUUAAAUUUUAUCUUUUUAUUUUUAUUUUUAUUUUUAUUUUAUAUGUAAAUUAAUGUAAAGAGACUUUGGUUAACCCUCCCCCACACUUAAACUAAAUAACACAAACUUACAGAAAUCAACCAAAUAACACAACUAACUAAACAAAACAAAAUGAAAGCAAUAAAGAUAAGGGUGGAAGAAUGCAAAGCUGAUUGGGUUAGCGAUUCCAAAGUCUCCCUUCGUUGAAUGUUUGGGUUGCCUCCCAAGAAGCGCUUGAUUUAACGUCUUUAGCCGGACGCAUCUUUCCUUUAAAUUUCCCUCGGCUCCAUUUGAACCUAAAAUCAAAGAAAGAAAAAUAAAUCAAAUAUCAAAAGUAAAAUACACAAACGCCAAUAUAAACAUAAACAAAAAACAAAAAUAAAAGGAUUAGCAAAGUUACUAAUCCCCGGCAACGGCGCCAAAAUUUGAUGUGAGAAUUACUUGACACACAAAUUAAACCCUCUUUUUGACAAUUGUAGUAUAGAUGUAAGUAGGGUAUCGUUCUAGGCCGGGGAUUAGGAGGGAUUGCUAAUCUAUUCUAAAUUAAUUUAAAAAUAUUAAAUAAGACUCAAGGACACAAAACUAGGCUAAAAACUCUAAUAACUCGAAACACACUUAAAAUGACUCAAAAUAAUGAAAACAAUUAAAUUAAACACUAGGAACUGAAAUGGACGAAAAUUAAAUUAAAAGACUAACAAUAAAGAAAACUAACUAAAUAAUAUAAUUUAAUAAUGGAUGGGUGUUUGGUUUUGAUGAAAAGUAAAUUAAACUUAAUUAAAUUACAGAAUUGACAAAAAAACAUAAAAUUAAGGUGAAAGGAUAAAUGACGGACUAGCUAGAGGGUUCUUCUCCACACAUGACACAUAUGCAACCUAA